GGGCCUAUAGCUCAGAUGGUUAGAGCGCACGCCUGAUAAGCGUGAGGUCAGUGGUUCAACUCCACUUAGGCCCACCA
This 77-nucleotide transfer RNA is filed under the name bacterium. RNAcentral's name for it is "tRNA-Ile". It matches the Rfam family "tRNA". From Rfam's summary of the family: Transfer RNA (tRNA) molecules are approximately 80 nucleotides in length. Their secondary structure includes four short double-helical elements and three loops (D, anti-codon, and T loops). Further hydrogen bonds mediate the characteristic L-shaped molecular structure. tRNAs have two regions of fundamental functional importance: the anti-codon, which is responsible for specific mRNA codon recognition, and the 3' end, to which the tRNAs corresponding amino acid is attached (by aminoacyl-tRNA synthetases). tRNAs cope with the degeneracy of the genetic code in two manners: having more than one tRNA (with a specific anti-codon) for a particular amino acid; and 'wobble' base-pairing, i.e. permitting non-standard base-pairing at the 3rd anti-codon position. RNAcentral also lists the same sequence under 4 other names. The record is from RNAcentral.